RNAcentral lists this ribosomal RNA (239 nucleotides) under uncultured bacterium. RNAcentral's name for it is "partial 16S ribosomal RNA". It matches the Rfam family "Bacterial small subunit ribosomal RNA", at positions 15 to 245 of the family's 1533-position model. The record is from RNAcentral.
GAUUAUGGCUCAGGAUGAACGCUAGCUACAGGCUUAACACAUGCAAGCCGAGGGGCAGCGGGAAGUCAGCUUGCUGACUUUGCCGGCGACCGGCGCACGGGUGAGUAACACGUAUCCAACCUUCCCGUUACUCUGGAAUAGCCUUUCGAAAGAAAGAUUAAUACCGGAUAGUAUCGAGAGAUUGCAUGAUUACAUGAUUAAAGGUAUUCCGGUAGACGAUGGGGAUGCGUUCCAUUAGA